This 253-nucleotide ribosomal RNA is filed under the name uncultured bacterium. RNAcentral's name for it is "partial 16S ribosomal RNA". It matches the Rfam family "Bacterial small subunit ribosomal RNA", at positions 524 to 776 of the family's 1533-position model. The record is from RNAcentral.
UACAGAGGGUGCAAGCGUUAAUCGGAGUUACUGGGCGUAAAGGGCGCGUAGGCGGUUAUUUAAGUUGGAUGUGAAAUCCCUGGGCUUAACCUAGGAACUGCAUUCAAAACUGGGUAACUAGAGUACUGUAGAGGGUAGUGGAAUUUCCGGUGUAGCGGUGAAAUGCGUAGAGAUCGGAAGGAACACCAGUGGCGAAGGCGGCUACCUGGACAGAUACUGACGCUGAGGCGCGAGAGCGUGGGGAGCAAACAGG